This 910-nucleotide ribosomal RNA is filed under the name Hesperomyces virescens. RNAcentral describes it as "SSU rRNA". It matches the Rfam family "Eukaryotic small subunit ribosomal RNA", at positions 86 to 999 of the family's 1831-position model. Lineage: Eukaryota; Fungi; Ascomycota; Laboulbeniomycetes; Laboulbeniales; Laboulbeniaceae. The record is from RNAcentral.
ACUGCGAAUGGCUCAUUAAAUCAGUUAUUGUUUAUUUGAUGGUACCUUUACUACUUGGAUAACCGUGGUAAUUCUAGAGCUAAUACAUGCUAAAAACCCCGACUCAAGAAGGGGUGUAUUUAUUAGAUUCAAACCAGUGUCCCUCGGGACUUUUUGGUGACUCAUAAUAACUUAACGCAGCGCAUGGCCUUCGUGCCGGCGCGGGAUCAUUCAAAUACCUGCCCUAUCAAGUUUCGAUGUGAGGGUAGUGUCCUCACAUGCUUUUGACGGGUAACGGGGAAUUAGGGUUCGACUCCGGAGAGGGAGCCUGAGAAACGGCUACCACAUCCAAGGAAGGCAGCAGGCGCGCAAAUUACCCAAUCCCGAUACGGGGAGGUAGUGACAAGAAAUACCGAUUCAGGAUCUUAUUGGAUCUUGAGAUUGGAAUGAGUACAAUUCAAACCCAUUAACGAGGAACAACUAGAGGGCAAGUCUGGUGCCAGCAGCCGCGGUAAUUCCAGCUCUAGUAGCGUAUAUUAAAAUUGUUGCAGUUAAAACGCUCGUAGUUGAACUUUGGGCUUGGCUGGCUGGUCCGCCUCACCGCGAGCACUGGUCCGGCUGGGCCUUUCCUCUUGGGGAUCCACAUGCCCUUCACUUGGGUGUGUUGGGGAACCAGGACUUUUACUUUGAAAAAAUUAGGGUGUUCAAAGCAGGCAUUUGCUCGAAUACAUUAGCAUGGGAUAAUAGAAUAGGACGUGUGGUCUUAUUUUGUUGGUUUCUAGGACCGCCGUAAUGAUUGAUAGGGAUAGGUUGGGGGCAUCGGUAUUCAAUUGUCAGAGGUGAANUUCUUGGGAUUUAUUGAAGACCAACUACUGCGAAAGCAUUUGCCAAAGAUGUUUUUCAUUAAUCAGGGAACGAAAGUUAGGGGAUC